Long non-coding RNA from Anguilla rostrata (American eel), 2339 nucleotides. RefSeq lists it as uncharacterized. NCBI's taxonomy places the organism in Eukaryota, Metazoa, Chordata, Actinopteri, Anguilliformes, Anguillidae. The transcript is spliced from 2 exons. The record is from RefSeq and is a predicted model, not a curated record.
GCAUCUCCUCUUUGGCCCGGGAAUUUGUCUUUGUUGUUCUCUUUUUUCCAUUUCAUUCGUCUGUUUUGAAACCAAAUCUUCACCUGUCUCUCUGUCAGGCCUAAUGCAUGGGAAACCUCGAUCCGCCGCUUGCGUGUCAGGAAUGAUGGAAAAAGAGUCCUGCCUUAACUCCACGUUACCACUUCUCCACCUAAGGCUUAAUGAGGGCCGAGCCAAGAUGUUUACCUGAGUACAUCCCGCAGUUAUAUAACACUUGAUAUUGUUCUGGUUUUUAUCGAUACAACAGUGCACCUCAGAUUAAACUACACUAUUUUGAAAGUAGGAAAUUAAUAAGUGACAGAUUUAACGGGAGGUGGGUGAUAAGUUGUUCACUUGUGUCCAGUUAAAAACAAACAACAAAAAGAUGAUACAGCAAUCAAAAAUGGGAUUUAAGAUAUUCGUCCAUUUCGAAAUGAAAAUUAAUGAUUAAGAAGGAAGAGUUCGGACACUUAUCAUCUUAUUCGUGCACACACAUACACACACACGCCCGCGCGCGCGCCCGCGCAGUUGCAUACAGGUACACACAACCAAUAAAGACACACUAAAACACAGACGCGCGCGUCACACACACACACACACACACACACACACACACACAAUGUGUUCGCCCCUUUUAAGACAUUAGAGAAGAAUACAAAAGAAUUCUAACCAUGGGGUCUCAUCCAAGGGAACAUAAGACCGGGAGACGGAUUUUGAUUUAGGUGGCCUUGUACUUCUCCGGGGUUAGUUCCAUUGGACGAUUUACAGUCUGGGUAUUGCGCUACGCUUGCCUCUUGCUGGGUACCAUAAAGCGAUUGCCUCGGAAGGGUUUCGUAUCCAUAAAAUUUAGUGGCAUCUCCAUGGCAAGCUAAAGCACAUGGGUUUUGUUGGUAUCCAGGGCUAGAUAUUCCCGAUGUCCCGUGAUGAAAAAAGUCUUGGACGUGAUGAGACGGGUGUUGAAAGCCCGGCGCAGCCGCUCCGGUUCCGUACAUCAGCGCAUGACUUCGGGUGACGCUUUGGGGGAACCGGCAGUCGUAGUAAGUUGGUUCCAGUGUUUCGCUGCCUUUGUACUUUGAAAAAAGGGGGUUAACAAAAUAUGAGCUCAUUUUCCCUUCGCAUUCAAAAAUGAAAUGUUAUUGUUCGAUAAUGUGCUCUUGUAAAAAAUGUUUUGCUGCUCAAGUUGUAGUCCACCACACAAACACAACAAACGGAACCCAAGGGACGGGGGUUAAAAAAAGGCUCGUGUCCCCGUGGAUAAUCGUAGUUCGUUCGCUCUCCGGUUCACUCUCUAAUUCUGUUAUACGAUAAUGUAGCUAUAUCUCACCUUUUCCUCUUAUUUUCAGCUUGAAAUCCGGCUCAUGUCAUGUACGGUUGAUGUGUGCUACAGCUAAAGCUGGCUAGCUCCGCCGGUACAGUCACAGGCGAUUUUUUUUCUGCUUCCCACCCCCACCACAUCGACCCCCUCCUCCUCUCUCUCCACCAACCUUCAAACCACCCCCCUCAUCCCCACAUUCCCUCUUUCCACUGGCGUUCCCAGACGCCUACCUUGAACAACAGAACGAGGCAAUGUUAAAUGGCUCAUGUUGAUGGACUGUUUUAAAACAACAAAUAUCCCAUAGGAAUAUAAUUUCUAUAGUAUAUUUUACGUGUCUAUAUCCACACGACAAAAAUCAUCUCAUCGAAUGCACUAGGCCAAACUAUUACAUGGGUCACCCACCGUUUUAGCUGACCGUUUAAAUUACAUAUAAUGUAGCGUUGCAUGGUUGUAAUAAGAAAUUGUAAUGUAACCCUAACCAUUACAAUAUUAUCAAAAGCCAAGAACAGGGCCCAAACGAGUGCACCUUACUGAUCGAUUGAAUUGUAUCGAUAUUCCUGACACAAAGAUCUCCUCCAGCACAACACACACACACACACGCACACGCGCGCGCGCGCACACACACACACACGCCAGCUUCUUGUCCUGGUCUGAUCGUUUACCUGUUUUUGUAAAUCUUAACAACUAUACAAAAUGUCCCUCAUUGUUUCAGUUGGUACAGACUUAGCCCACGUCAUGUUUUGUUUCUACACGUGCACAUUCGCAAGGCCUCUGUUAAUGGAAUCCGUUUUAUGGUGUGACUGACGAUAUUAAUGCACGGUUUAAAAUGUAGCAGGAUGCUGACUGGAAUAAAAUUUAGCAGAUAGCUUAAAACUGCUCUCGAUCAUUUACUGAAAAUUACAUUUCCAUCACCACCCAUGUAAGAAAACAACGUUAAGCCUUUGCAUCUUUAGGUUUGUGUUAUAGUUUCACUGGCAUUCCAUUAAUAAAAACGCUGCUACUUUUA